This 343-nucleotide unclassified non-coding RNA is filed under the name Hevea brasiliensis (rubber tree). Lineage: Eukaryota; Viridiplantae; Streptophyta; Magnoliopsida; Malpighiales; Euphorbiaceae. The record is from RNAcentral.
UUUCUUCUUCUUCUCCUCCUUCUUUGAAUGGUGUUAGCGGAGAUGUUCGAGAUCGAUGCGUGUCAUCACGCGAGGGAAUAACAUAUGGCUUGUCUUCGUGCUUCUCCGACUGGGGCUUUGGACGGAGUGGUUCUUCAUGGUUCUUAUCCAGUGUGAUCCUUCAAAAGGGCGUGCUUACAGAAGAAGAGGAUAGUCAAGACCCAUAAAAACAAAGACUGAGUUUUUUUCCUUGGUGGUUCUAUGUUUCUUUUGUCCUUCAUCGUCAAGAUUCAUAUUAUUAUGUAUUUCAUGGUCUGAUUAUUCUUGUUUGAUUUGAAAUUGGAAGAAAUUUUUUUGGUUUUGU